Molecule: microRNA, 21 nt
Filed under: Sarcophilus harrisii (Tasmanian devil)
Lineage: Eukaryota; Metazoa; Chordata; Mammalia; Dasyuromorphia; Dasyuridae
Also listed under: 2 other names
Description: Sha-Mir-1251_3p* (star (passenger))
Source: RNAcentral
CGCUUUACUUAGCCAGUGUAG